Molecule: ribosomal RNA, 461 nt
Filed under: uncultured bacterium
Lineage: Bacteria
Description: bacterial SSU rRNA
Rfam family: Bacterial small subunit ribosomal RNA
Source: RNAcentral
AACGAACGCUGGCGGCGCGCCUAAUACAUGCAAGUCGAGCGAGAAGACGUAGCAAUACGUUUGUAAAGCGGCGAACGGGUGAGGAAUACAUGGGUAACCUACCCUCGAGUGGGGAAUAACUAGCCGAAAGGUUAGCUAAUACCGCGUACGCUCCUUGGACUUCGGUUCAGGGAGGAAAGCGAUACCGUGGGUAUCGCGCUCUUGGAUGGGCUCAUGUCCUAUCAGCUUGUUGGUGAGGUAACGGCUCACCAAGGCUUCGACGGGUAGCUGGCCUGAGAGGACGAUCAGCCACACUGGCACUGCGACACGGGCCAGACUCCUACGGGAGGCAGCAGUAAGGAAUAUUGCGCAAUGGGCGAAAGCCUGACGCAGCGACGCCGCGUGGGGGAUGAAGGUCUUCGGAUUGUAAACCCCUUUCGGGAGGGAAGAUGGAACGAGCAAUCGUUCGGACGGUACCUCCA